RNAcentral lists this ribosomal RNA (555 nucleotides) under uncultured bacterium. RNAcentral describes it as "bacterial SSU rRNA". It matches the Rfam family "Bacterial small subunit ribosomal RNA", at positions 153 to 717 of the family's 1533-position model. The record is from RNAcentral.
GAAACUGCCGGUAAUACCGGAUAAUGUCCCCGGACCAAAGGUGUGAUUCCGUCUAGGGAUGGGUCUGCGUCCUAUUAGCUUGUUGGUGAGGUAACGGCUCACCAAGGCCGAGAUGGGUAGCGGGUGUGAGAGCAUGGCCCGCCUCACUGGGACUGAGACACUGCCCAGACACCUACGGGUGGCUGCAGUCGAGAAUCUUCCGCAAUGGGCGAAAGCCUGACGGAGCGACGCCGCGUGCGGGAUGAAGGCCUUCGGGUUGUAAACCGCUGUCAGAGGGGAACAAAUCCAUGAGGGCUAUCCCUGAUGGUUGAGUGAUCCUCAGAGGAAGCGCAGGCUAAGUUCGUGCCAGCAGCCGCGGUAACACGAACUGCGCGAACGUUAUUCGGAUUUACUGGGCUUAAAGAGUUCGUAGGCGGCUUUGCAGGUGGGGUGUGAAAUCCCCCGGCUCAACCGGGGAACUGCGCUCCAAACCGCAGGGCUUGAGGGAGAUAGAGGUGAGCGGAACUCACGGUGGAGCGGUGAAAUGCGUUGAUAUCGUGAGGAACACCGGUGGCG